RNAcentral lists this long non-coding RNA (4177 nucleotides) under Musa acuminata (dwarf banana). Its description in RNAcentral is "long non-coding RNA (MACU_LNC000328)". The record is from RNAcentral. Lineage: Eukaryota; Viridiplantae; Streptophyta; Magnoliopsida; Zingiberales; Musaceae.
GUUCGUUGUGAUGUAAGAUGUUAGGAACUCAAACUGAUUCGCCUCCAACAAUACGGCAUAGCUGCAGUCACUGAAGUUCCAGAUGCUCGAGCUGUUGAAAUUGGAAUCAAACCAGACCUCAUAGUAUGUGAGGUCCUUGGGAAUGGAGGUUUGGCAGCAGCCGAUGCCGGAGCAUGAGCUGUUGACCAAGCUCGCCUCGUUGUGACACACAGACACGCAACCGCUCUGGUAGCUGUCGGCACUUUGGAAAUCUCCGAUGUAGGCGAGGGUCUCGCAGCCGAUUACAGUGAACCUGUUGUGGACGUCGGAGAAUCUGUAUGGUGUGCCUACCAAAUUCAGAGACCAGAAGUUGUAGUCCAAAGAAUUGUUGCUAACGUUGUAACACUGCCACGAUAUUUCAUUGAGCAUGCGUGCCUGGCCUAGUGGCAAUGAGAUAUUGGUGAUCUCGACGUUGGAAAAAAAAAGUUUCUCGAGGCCAUCAUCCGUUGUGUUGCAAUCUAGUGAGAAGCCUUCCAUCGCACAGUUAUGACCGAUGCCAAAAGGGUAGGGGACGUCAACCUCGCCGCAUCUCGUUCGGCAGCCAGGCGGUGCAGCUGCUGCAGAUGCCGCUGCACCCACUAGCGGCAGCAUCAACAGCUGGAACAAGCGAUACCCUAACAGCACACCCAUCUCUCGAUUUGCACAUUAUCAGAGAGGUACUCUCAGAUAAAAGCUUGGACAAAUGAUCUGUUAUGGAAACACCAAAGCCUAAAAUGAAGCUUCCUCUUGGCUGAACGAUGACGUCCAAGAAAGCUGACCUUUUCCCAGUCAAUCAUUUGAAGCAAAAAUUGAUUAUUUGAUUGCAUCACUGUCUAAUUUUUCUGCAAAAAAAAAAAAAAAUUGAUUCAAAACUUGGAUCCACAAGGAUGAACUUUGAUUAUGUCAACAGGCAGCCUUAUGUGACCACACACCCAUCUUUCCCUUUGAUCGGCGCCACAUGCUGCAAAGUUGGGAACGCAAAACAACAUCUGACUUUUAAUAGGAUGUUUCGAUCCUUCAGAACAAUAGAAGUACAAGGAAAGAAAACUCAAUGAACUGCUAUCGACCAUCCUCGUCAAGUGGAUUUUCAUGGACCUGUUCAAUCUUUAAUGGUACAAGAAGAACUAGCGGUUGGUGGAUCCGCGGAUGACACCGGCUGAGAUGGAGAUGGUGUAAGCGACUUAUCACACCAAUUCAUGAUUGUUUAAUGUUAGCUUCUUUCUCAAUUAAUUCUUCUUUGUGAAAGCAGAACACAAAAAAAGAAGAAGAAGACAUGAAUAAGAAAUGACGUUCUCUGUCUGCUCAGAGAGACGUCGCAAUUGGUGGUGUUGACUAGUCUACCUAAACUAGCGAUUAAAACGUGAUGGUUGACAUGGCUCACCUUGGCACCCUCGUCGUCUUCCUGUCUGCGAUAGGGCGGCGUACAAUCUUGUAGGCGCCUCUCCAUAAGCCCAUCCACGACUCCGGGGAAGAACCGGCGACGUCGCCCAAAAUGGGUCGACCAUAGCUGCGUGGAGGGAGCCGGCGGAGGCGGCUAAAGAUUCCUCCGCUACCUGCUGCCUUCGUUGCUCGUGAAAAGCGGCGGUUAUCGUGAUCGGCGGAGAGAACGCCCCCAUGUCUGCGCUCUCUUGGGAGGAAGGAGUUCUCUCAGAUCCCCAAAGGAACGGACACGUACGAGCACCACAACACAACAAUUGAGGGGGGCGAUCUCGUCAUUGCACGACAAACAGCAUUUACUUACUUUAUAUACUGAUGACCAUCUCUUUUCUGUAAUGUGAUUAUUUCGGAGGAUUGAGAGUAGCCUUAUGCGCACAAACGACUUAUGACAGAUUAAUUAUAUAUUACCUCGUAUACAUACUUACAUUAUAUUAAUAUAAUAAUAUUAUAUUUAAAAAAUUAUAUUAAUUAUUUUUAUAAUUUUAAAAAUAAAAUAAAUAAUCUUAUUUAUCCUAACGUUAUCAAUUAUAUUGAUAAAAAAUAUAACAUGUGACACACGUAUCGAAUCGAUACAAAAAUGAUGGAUAAAAAUAUAUUAUAUUUUUUAUUAAUAUCUGAUGACAUAAAUAAAGUUAUUUAUUUUAUUUUUAAAAUUAUAAAAAAAAAUAAUAUAAUUUUUUAAAAUAUAAAGAUCAUGAUAUUAAUAAGGUAGGUAAUAUAUAAUUAGCCCACUUAUUACGGGAGAAUAUAGGUCGAGGAAAAGACUGUGGUCCGAUCUGCAAAUUGAAUUUGUACAGAUCUCAGAUUCCUAUAGUUACUGAUACAUAUUCUUUCUACAUAGCUCAGAACAUAAUCCAGUAGGAAAUGGCAAACAGACAUUUACAACCAUAUAUUGCCGAUCAAUUUAAGAUUGCUUCAAGAAACUAUAAAAACAAGGGAGUUGAUGUGUUUGGGAAUAAAUUUAACGCCAAUCUUUUCGCUGAAUUAUAGCAAGUAAUGGUAUCAAUUCCACGCUCACCUGAUGGUUCACCGAGCAAGCUCUCUAUCUCCUCAGCAUUUCGUGGCACCCACGGGUGCUGCUUUAAUUCUUUUAACCUGUCAAGCUCUUCCGCCACUUCCUUCAUCGUAGGCCUUUCUUCUCCCCUAUAGUUCAGGCGUUGCCCUGUGAGCCCCCUAAUUCUUUGAAUCAGUUCUAUAUCCUCUUCAUUUCUCACUUGAUCAUCCAAGAUCGCAAGUACCUGUCUCUCAUAAAUUCAGGCCAAUUAACAUCAUGAAAAGAAAUAAAAACUAUGAUUUUUAUGCACAUUGUAACAAUAAGACAAGCAUGGACAUAUUUAUGCUCUGCAUUUCUGCUGCUAUUAUCCUUGAUGCUUUUUUUUUUGUUCUUUUUCUUUUGCAGUUUCUCCAUUGAAUGCCGUGAAAGGAUUAUUUUUAAUUACAUAACUAGAAUAAAUGCAGUCAAUACGAGAACUGUGGAUAACUCAUCAUAUUAAAUAUGAUAUUAAAGAAUACUAUUUCCCUCUACUUUUAGUAGGUAUAAAUACACAAGUUGGACUUCCCCGAGGGAGAAGAAGCAAAGCCGUCUUGCUUUCUCGUUCACAGUGAUGCCAAAGGUCUGAACUCAUGACUGAAGUUGGAAAAAAUACGAGGAUAAAGGACCUUCAAGAAGACUUUGUUAAUCACAAAAGUUCUUCAAGGUUCUACAACCGAAGUCGGUUCUACCUAGGCCGAUAAAAGCAAUACCGGCAAUUCGGAAUUUAACAUAUUAUUGAUCUUUCACAAGUAAAUACACUUUCUUGAGUGGAUCAAAAAAUCAUCAGCUACUUAGAGAUGAUCCAAGACAACAAGAAGAUAAGAUUGAACCAGGCAUUAGUCCUCCCUAUAAUAUACACCUAGUCUAUAGUGCAGACAGGUGAAAGGAUUUGAAGCAAUAAAUAAAAUUCAUGAAAAGAAAGGGAACAAAAGAAUUUAUUUGUAAUACUUGGCAUCAAAUGUGUUUGGAGAUCCUCGACAAAGACGAAAGUCAUGGUGGAAAAAAGACUCUUACCUAUAGCCACCUUCGCUGAUGAUUGAAGGUUCUGCUGUUGAGUGCAUGGUCCAUUGAAACAAUCACCAUAUGUUCCUCACAGGCAGAAACAAUUGUAGCUACCGGGCAGGUUCUGGCAGAUGCCAUUGCAUGGAUAUUGAUAUUUAUCAGAGCAUUCAUCGAUGUCUGCAAUUAAACCAUAUUCGGCGGUAUCAGAAACAAAAUCAUGAAAACUGAAAAGGAAAGCAGAUCCCAGAAAGAGAAGAGACUGGUACAGGUAACAGACCUUGGCAGCCAUGAGCGACAUAAGGAUUGCCAUGGUAGCCACUCGAACAGUUACACCGAUACCCAGGACCAUUGGAAGAAUUCAAACACUCGCGGUGCUCACUGAUGCAGGUGUAGGAGGUUCUGUUGCGCUUUGCUAUCUCGUUUCCGAUCGCCCAAUCCACCACCAAAGGCGCCUUGCUAAUGCUGUCGUUCAAGAAUCGGUCCGUUGUGAUGUAAAUGUUAGGAAUUCAAACCGAUUGGCCUCCAACAAUACGGCAUAGCUGCAGCAACUGAAGUUCCAGAUGCUCGAGCUGCUGAAAUUUGAAUCAAACCAGACCUCAUAGUAUGCGAGGUCCUUGGGGAUGGAGGUUUGGCAGCAGCCGAUGCCGGAGCAUGAGCUGUUGACCAAACUCACCUCGUUGUGACACA